Molecule: long non-coding RNA, 885 nt
Organism: Apodemus sylvaticus (European woodmouse)
Lineage: Eukaryota; Metazoa; Chordata; Mammalia; Rodentia; Muridae
Exons: 4
Source: RefSeq, a predicted model, not a curated record
CUGAGCUCGAUCCUCCUGCCUCUACAUCUAGUGCUAGAAUUAGAAGAAUGUGCCACAUCUGCCUUCUAAACCCAUCCCAAGGCUUGGUUAACAGUCUAAUUAAAUGUCAAGGAGGAAGGCAAACUAUCUACAAAAACAAUCUCUUCUCCUUCCCGUCUCUCCUUUCUACACAGCCCAGGGUGUCCUGUUGGAACUCAGCGAUCAACCUGCCCCUGCCUCCAGAGUGCUGGGAUCACAGGUGCUGGAAACAAAACCUGGGUCUGCCUGAAAGCAGCAGUGCUCUUGAUGGCUGAGCCAUCUCCCCAGCCCUGGAAGUUCUAUUUUCGAUCUAGUCUAACUAUGCUGCAUCCCAGCAUCUAUGAAGAUGUUUCACGGAAGAGUUUCGAUAGAUUACCACAGAAGGGAAGCGUUCAUCAACUGCAGAGGGAGGCAAGCCUAACUCUGAGGUCAAACAUCAAGUUAACUCAAAAAUAGGAGACAGCAAAGAAGAGUAUGGAACAUUCUGUAUCUGGUAAAAAGUCCCUGUCCGAGCCAAGCCCAUCCCCCAGCUCUCCAGUUCAAUGACAGAGUUAUGGAAACUUCUCUCGUGUGGUAAAACUGGGACUUUGUCUUCCAAUAAGACCCUGGCAAGCUGACAGCAAGCCAAUGUUCUGCAUAUGGCUUAUGUCAUAGGCUUAAUGUUAUUUUCUGGGAAUUCUUAGUCUCUAUUUGGUGAGAAUUCGGGAACAUGUCAUUUUAUAAUUACAAUUUUCAUUAUUUGGUUCUGUACUUUAAGAAAUAUGUGCAGGUCUCAUGUAUUUCUUACAAUGUAAGUCUACAAUUAAUUAAAAAUCAGUCUUAUGUCAUCACAAUAAUAGGCAACAAUAAAUGAACAGUGCCUUUCAA